GACGAACGCUGGCGGCGUGCCUAAUACAUGCAAGUCGAGCGGACUUAAAAAGCUUGCUUUUCAAGUUAGCGGCGGACGGGUGAGUAACACGUGGGCAACCUGCCUGUAAGACUGGGAUAACUUCGGGAGACCGGAGCUAAUACCGGAUAAUCCUUUCCUACUCAUGCAGGAAAGCUGAAAGACGGCUUACGCUGUCACUUACAGAUGGGCCCGCGGCGCAUUAGCUAGUUGGUGAGGUAACGGCUCACCAAGGCGACGAUGCGUAGCCGACCUGAGAGGGUGAUCGGCCACACUGGGACUGAGACACGGCCCAGACUCCUACGGGAGGCAGCAGUAGGGAAUCUUCCGCAAUGGACGAAAGUCUGACGGAGCAACGCCGCGUGAGUGAUGAAGGUUUUCGGAUCGUAAAACUCUGUUGUUAGGGAAGAACAAGUACGAGAGUAACUGCUCGUACCUUGACGGUACCUAACCAGAAAGCCACGGCUAACUACGUGCCAGCCGCCGCCGUAA
RNAcentral lists this ribosomal RNA (510 nucleotides) under uncultured bacterium. Its description in RNAcentral is "partial 16S ribosomal RNA". It matches the Rfam family "Bacterial small subunit ribosomal RNA", at positions 28 to 523 of the family's 1533-position model. The record is from RNAcentral.